GGACGCCGUGCGUCUCCCUGGAGCCGGUAAGGGUGGUGGCGGCUGUGGCGGGUGAGCAGGUUUUGCCGUUACUGCCAGCUGCAGGGGCGCUUGGGGUGCGGGGCCGGGCCGGGAACAGCGGUGGGCCCGUUCCCGAGUGCGAUCUCCGCGCGCCGCCCAGGGUUCGGCCUGAGCUGGCUCUGCAUCCGGACUCGGGCCAUCUGCGGUAGCCGGACCUCCAGAGCCACAGUCCCGAGAGGGCCGAGGACCAGCCGCCUCCUUCAGGCCAGGGUGUGCAGGCUUGCCUUGGAUACGGGCCGUGAAAGUGUUUCCCCAGGCUCUGGAAGUACCUGGUUGCCUGCGGAACGAACCCCGUCCUGUCAGCUUGGGCUGCCUAAAGACCCAGGGGUGGUAGGUGAAUGGAA
RNAcentral lists this long non-coding RNA (404 nucleotides) under Rattus norvegicus (Norway rat). RNAcentral describes it as "long non-coding RNA NONRATT027305". Lineage: Eukaryota; Metazoa; Chordata; Mammalia; Rodentia; Muridae. The record is from RNAcentral.